UACAGAGGUCUCAAGCGUUGUUCGGAUUCAUUGGGCGUAAAGGGUGCGUAGGCGGCCAUGUAAGUCAGGAGUGAAAGUUUGCGGCUCAACCGUAAAAUUGCUUUUGAUACUGCAUGGCUGGAAUCAGGAUGAGGUCAGCGGAAUGUGGCAUGUAGCGGUGAAAUGCAUAGAUAUGCCAUAGAACACCAAUUGCGAAGGCAGCUGGCUAGACCUGUAUUGACGCUGAGGCACGAAAGCGUGGGGAGCGAAUAGG
RNAcentral lists this ribosomal RNA (253 nucleotides) under uncultured bacterium. Its description in RNAcentral is "partial 16S ribosomal RNA". It matches the Rfam family "Bacterial small subunit ribosomal RNA", at positions 524 to 776 of the family's 1533-position model. The record is from RNAcentral.